RNAcentral lists this ribosomal RNA (330 nucleotides) under uncultured eukaryote. Its description in RNAcentral is "partial 18S ribosomal RNA". It matches the Rfam family "Eukaryotic small subunit ribosomal RNA", at positions 1470 to 1796 of the family's 1831-position model. The record is from RNAcentral.
CCCUUAGAUGUUCUGGGCCGCACGCGCGCUGCACUGAUGAAUUCAACGAGCUCCUAACCUAGGCCGAAGGGUCCGGGUAAUCUUUGAAAUUUCAUCGUGAUGGGGAUAGAUUAUUGCAAUUAUUAAUCUUCAACGAGGAAUUCCUAGUAAGCGCGAGUCAUCAGCUCGCGUUGAUUACGUCCCUGCCCUUUGUACACACCGCCCGUCGCUCCUACCGAUUGAAUGGUCCGGUGAAAUGUUCGGACCGCGACAAGGCGGACGGUUCGCUGUCAGCUUUGCUGCGGGAAGUUCAUUAAACCUUAUCAUUUAGAGGAAGGAGAAGUCGUAACA